Molecule: non-coding RNA, 148 nt
Filed under: Gorilla gorilla gorilla (western lowland gorilla)
Lineage: Eukaryota; Metazoa; Chordata; Mammalia; Primates; Hominidae
Source: Rfam by way of RNAcentral
GCCGGGCUUGGUGGUGUGCGCCUGUAGUCCCAGCUACUCAGGAGGCUGAGGCAGGAGAACUGCUUGAACCCAGGAGUUGGAGGCUGCAGUGAGCCGAGAUUGCGCCACUGCACUCCAGCCUGGGUGACAGAGUAAGACUCUGCCUCAA